GAUGAACGCUGGCGGCGUGCCUAAUACAUGCAAGUCGAGCGAACGGACGAGAAGCUUGCUUCUCUGAUGUUAGCGGCGGACGGGUGAGUAACACGUGGAUAACCUACCUAUAAGACUGGGAUAACUUCGGGAAACCGGAGCUAAUACCGGAUAAUAUUUUGAACCGCAUGGUUCAAAAGUGAAAGACGGUCUUGCUGUCACUUAUAGAUGGAUCCGCGCUGCAUUAGCUAGUUGGUAAGGUAACGGCUUACCAAGGCAACGAUGCAUAGCCGACCUGAGAGGGUGAUCGGCCACACUGGAACUGAGACACGGUCCAGACUCCUACGGGAGGCAGCAGUAGGGAAUCUUCCGCAAUGGGCGAAAGCCUGACAGAGCAACGCCGCGUGAGUGAUGAAGGUCUUCGGAUCGUAAAACUCUGUUAUUAGGGAAGAACAUAUGUGUAAGUAACUGUGCACAUCUUGACGGUACCUAAUCAGAAAGCCACGGCUAACUACGUG
RNAcentral lists this ribosomal RNA (497 nucleotides) under uncultured bacterium. RNAcentral's name for it is "partial 16S ribosomal RNA". It matches the Rfam family "Bacterial small subunit ribosomal RNA", at positions 28 to 507 of the family's 1533-position model. The record is from RNAcentral.